Long non-coding RNA from Helicoverpa zea (corn earworm), 801 nucleotides. RefSeq lists it as uncharacterized. The transcript is spliced from 3 exons. Lineage: Eukaryota; Metazoa; Arthropoda; Insecta; Lepidoptera; Noctuidae. The record is from RefSeq and is a predicted model, not a curated record.
AUUGUAUCGAGUGAUGUAAUAUGUGUAUUGUGUUGUGAUGUUGUGAGUGGAUAUGUUUAUUGUGUGAAUCAUGAGUAUUAGUGUGGUGUGGGGCGAACAUGUCAAAGCUAACCCAUAGCGGAUGUCCAUGCGAUACAUAUUUAUGAUAUGCUUUCCAAGGAUAAUUCAAGGUCCAGAAGUGAUACUACUUAGGAUGAAUAUGGAGUGAAGCAGACAGGAGGCAGCCAAACCACUCCACAACACUGCUGGGGAACCCCCAAGGACUGUGGGCCAUAACUCAUAAGGCCCCUUAUAGGUGGAGGAAGGUCAUUCCAGCAGUGUGUGGCUGCAAAUCUGAAGCUACCCCUGAAGGCUGCAGUUUUGUGAAGUGGGACCCUCAGCGGAGCAACUAUGGAGCGAAGACCAUGUCUGUAGCAUGUUUCUUUCCAUAUAAGUUUUUCAAAUAAGUAGUGCGGCUUGUGGGUUGAAACGAUUCCAAACAUCAGGCUGGCAAGAUGCAGUUUUCGCCUGGCAGCCAUUUUUAACAUUUUGAUUUGGUUGAUGUAUGGCGUUACAUGGUGUCUGCGGGGGACUUUUGUGCAGAAUCGGACACAUGCAUUCUGUACACGCUGUAUCAGCCUAUCUGACCUAGCAAGCAGGCACGGCCCGUAUACAGUAUCGCAGUAAUUUAGCUUGGAUAAGACUAGCGUGUCUACAAUUUGUUUUCUAAGAGGUAGACUUAGAAAGUUACGAAUACUGUACAGUACCUUAAGCCUAUAGAAGCAGUUUCUUACUACGUUGUUUAAAUGAGCCUCAAAGCGC